CUUGAUUCAAUUAUGGUAAUUAGGGCUGGCAAAGUUAGUGCCAGCCGCCGCGGUCACACUACAUCAGCUCAAAUUAAUAUCUAUCGGCGUAAAGCGUGAUUAAAGCACUAAAUAAAACUAGAGUCAAACAUAAAUUAUCCUGUUCUAACCUCAUUUAUAAGAAGCUCAACAACGAAAGUCACUCUAAACAACCAACUUGAACUCACGACAGCAGAAAAACAAACUGGGAUUAGAUACCCCACUAUGCCUGCCACAAACUUUAACUUACACCCCAAUCGCC
This 280-nucleotide ribosomal RNA is filed under the name Phyzelaphryne sp. 1a AF-2012. RNAcentral's name for it is "partial 12S ribosomal RNA". Lineage: Eukaryota; Metazoa; Chordata; Amphibia; Anura; Eleutherodactylidae. The record is from RNAcentral.